This 389-nucleotide ribosomal RNA is filed under the name Bacillus thuringiensis. Its description in RNAcentral is "bacterial SSU rRNA". It matches the Rfam family "Bacterial small subunit ribosomal RNA", at positions 61 to 438 of the family's 1533-position model. Lineage: Bacteria; Bacillati; Bacillota; Bacilli; Caryophanales; Bacillaceae. The record is from RNAcentral.
GUCGAGCGAAUGGAUUGAGAGCUUGCUCUCAAGAAGUUAGCGGCGGACGGGUGAGUAACACGUGGGUAACCUGCCCAUAAGACUGGGAUAACUCCGGGAAACCGGGGCUAAUACCGGAUAAYAUUUUGAACUGCAUGGUUCGAAAUUGAAAGGYGGCUUCGGCUGUCACUUAUGGAUGGACCCGCGUCGCAUUAGCUAGUUGGUGAGGUAACGGCUCACCAAGGCAACGAUGCGUAGCCGACCUGAGAGGGUGAUCGGCCACACUGGGACUGAGACACGGCCCAGACUCCUACGGGAGGYAGCAGUAGGGAAUCUUCCGCAAUGGACKAAAGUCUGACGGAKCAACGCCGCGUGAGUGAUGAAGGCUUUCGGGUCGUAAAACUCUGUUG